AGUGAACUGAAACAUCUAAGUAGCUGCAGGAAGAGAAAGCAAAAGCGAUUGCCUUAGUAGCGGCGAGCGAAACGGCAAGAGGGCAAACCGAAGAGUUUACUCUUCGGGGUUGUAGGACUGCGACGUGGACUUAAAGAUUAUAGAAGAACUACCUGGGAAGGUAGGCCAAAGAGAGUAAUAGCCUCGUAUUCGAAAUAGUCUUUAUACCUAGCAGUAUCCUGAGUACGGCGAGACACGAGAAAUCUCGUCGGAAUCUGGGAGGACCAUCUCCCAACCCUAAAUACUCUCUAGUGACCGAUAGUGAACCAGUACCGUGAGGGAAAGGUGAAAAGCACCCCGGGAGGGGAGUGAAAUAGAACCUGAA
Molecule: ribosomal RNA, 364 nt
Filed under: Streptococcus pneumoniae
Lineage: Bacteria; Bacillati; Bacillota; Bacilli; Lactobacillales; Streptococcaceae
Description: partial 23S ribosomal RNA
Rfam family: Bacterial large subunit ribosomal RNA
Source: RNAcentral